Long non-coding RNA from Bufo bufo (common toad), 146 nucleotides. RefSeq lists it as uncharacterized. NCBI's taxonomy places the organism in Eukaryota, Metazoa, Chordata, Amphibia, Anura, Bufonidae. The transcript has 3 exons. The record is from RefSeq and is a predicted model, not a curated record.
GAUUUGAUAUAGGCAGUGUCGGACUGGGAUGCCUAGGGCCCACCAGUAAAAUUCAUUCUGGGGGCCCACUGUACAGCGACAUGCAAAUAUUACCUUCCCACACAGAGGCAGACAGCAACAAGACGCUACAAGAUGAUUCAUUAUGG